CAGUGAGAGGAUGAAAAAAGUAUUGGUCUUUCAUUUGUAUAUGCAGUGUACAGAAUACGUGUACAGUAUUAAGUAUAGAAUUUUUUUUUUUUUAAUUCUGGGAGAUUUAUUUUCUUAGCCUCAAAUCCACUAGGAAAAAUUAGCAUUUUUAUCAGAACCAAACCAAGACUAAUCUUUGUUGUAUUUUCUUAAGUUACCAAAUGUAUGCUACAACAGCUUGGGGUCUUUUUAAGCAAUAUAUUAGCAAGCAAACAUUGUCUUGCUCUCAGAGGUCCUUCCAAAUCACAUUUAUUCUUGUCUUUGGUAUUUGAGGAUCCUAAUGAUACCACAAUGACACAAAUAAAAGAUGUUAUAUAAUAGCUGUACACGUGCAUUUCAGAUCCAGAAUUCGCUUCAUACUUCUCCCUGUAUCUCACUAGCAUGAGUGAUAAGCUCCUUUCUCCAAAUCUUACCUGGACUUCUUGUUCUAUAUGUUUUGAAUUACUCUGGGGGCCUAGAUUGUUUGACCUGUUUUGUGUGGAUUGCAUGGAAAACAUGGCAGUGAGCUGAGCCAGUGAGCCUACAUAAGAGCUUGCUUGGCAGCUGGUUAUUAUAACAAUAUAUAUCAACUAAGAGUCAGAAUGUGGAUGACUCCUGUGACGAGGGCAACAGAGAAGAUGCCGGAGAUUUGGGCUCUCAAAAGGCAAAAUGAAAGGACAACAGAGCCUCUUUUCUGUUGUACUAGGAAUUCAGACACCUCUAGACAAAGUCGCUAGAGUAAAAAGAGUCUCAAGGUGGCAGAUGUUUGGGUGAGGUGAGAAUCCUGGAUAAAAAGGAAGGACUCUUGGAAGUUGAUUCUGCAAAUCCCAAAAUAAUUCCUUUCUUCUCUCAUACAGUCAAUUUAGAGAAAGCGUCAGACGUUGUAUUAAGUGCUUUGCAAACACUGUAACUCAUGCCGUUCACACAUUAAUUCAGAGGUUUUUUUUUUUCUUCACUUUACCAGUGAAGAAACUGGGUCUCUGAAAGCCAAAGUCAUGAUUCCCAUUUAACAUUUUUUAGUCAUUUCAGAAGGUGUGACUCAAACCCGGACCUGUUGCCUCUAAAGCCAUGGUUGCCAGUUUUAGAUGUGUGCCUCUUUGAGAUGAAUUGCUCUUAUCUUGGAAAGUAGUAGAACUUUCAGCAAGGACCUUCAAGCAGAUUGCUGAGAUUCCCCAAAGCUGUUCCUGAUAAUAACGCCCACUCGUGCUGGGCCUUCGGUCACUGUGCGCCACGGUGAAGAAAAUGAGACCCUGCCAGGAUAUAAAACAAAGUGUAUUUCUUCCCAUUUCAACUUAAACCAGUUUUCAUAGGGUGAGUUCUUUGGGAUUGGUCGAGCUCCCUGCCAUGUGGUUCACAGUAGGCCUUUAUGUCCUCCUCUCAGCAUAAUUGGAAAUCCUUCCCUUUGGCUUGGGUUUUAAAGUUGUUUUCUUUCUUUCUUUUUCUUUUCUUUUCUUUUUUUUUUAAAUCUCUUGUCGAAGCACAUGUUAAAUGUGUCCAUGUUCUUUCCAUUAAAUAUCUUGGUUGCCUUCCCAGACUUGAAAUUGCAGUGAAUUUAUCCCCAAAGGAUGUUUGGUAUCAAUUCUCAAGAUGCAAUUUGAAUGUAGUCUGUUUCUGUAAUGGAAGCAGGAUUCCAAAUCUGCGUUUAAGUUCCAUAGAAAAUCAUGAAUCAUGCAAUGGCUGUUACUCAGCACUGUUCAGGUAUACUGAAUCCAUUGUUUUCUUGUCUUAUAGCUUUAGACCAGCUCAAAGGAUAAAACAGUAUAAAGAUUUAAUUUUAGGGCUGCAUAGGAGGCAUUAGAUUAUGAUUUCUAGCUACGCCAUGCUGAAUUCAGAUCUAUUAUAAUGAAGCUUUUUCUUUUUUUAACUAAGCAUUUUCCAUAAGGUAAAACUAAAAAUAAAUAACAACUGAAAAAUCCUGUUGAGUCCCAGAAUCAUUUACCCUAACAAUUGUAAUAGUUUCCUUGUUGUUACACUGUUUUCUGUGAUAAUGAUCCCUUUUUGUUAAACAUCCCAUCAUGUUGUCACCAUAUAAUAGGGAUUAGUGGUAUCAACUUCUUUUACAAAGAGGGAGUUAGUGGUGGUGCUAGUGAUAGCCGUAGCAUUAUUUAACUGGUGGCAUGCUUGGGUAGUUAGCUAUUCUCUUUGAAACUCCUAAUAAAGGCAUCAGGGGUGUCCUCAUCUUCCCCACCCAAGGGCAGCUGUGGUAGGAAGGAGGGACGGUAUUAGAAAGGAUUGCAUUUCAACACCUGAGCUUCCUUGCCACCUGCCUGCAGUGCAUACCUGCUGACUCCUACUCUUACUGUAGAGUAAAAUUACUUGUGUUUUCCUCGUUUACCCAACACGAUACAUCUGAAAUAUUUAGUUAUCCUCCUUCUGUCUUUCUUCUGUACUUUCUGGAGCAAUAACACAGGGCAUUGGGAAAGUAUGAAUUUUGUGGUCAAAACCCGCAUUCUCUUGGAUGAGCAUCUCACUUAUCUGACCUUCUGUGUUUUCUUGUGUAAAACCAGAAGAAUAAUACCAACCUUGCAGAGUUGAAACUUCGUAAAGAUGUGAGUUGAAGUGCUUUGGAAAUUGUACUUACCGUAUAUGAGUUAUUUUUACUGGCUGACUAGCUCUCUGACCCUCCUUUGUUCAGGAGGCUCCUCUAUCUUUUAAAUGGCUAAAUCCAUAGCCCUAUUCUUCUUGCAGCAUACUACGUUGGAGUUGCCCUUGUGAGAAGCAGCUUAAUUGCAGACCAACCAGGGUUGCUACAUGACCGGAUGCCAGGGGGGGCACUGUUCCCAUUGUGUUGAACUCAUGGUACCCCCCAAAACACAAUUUCAGUACUCAAAUCAAUGAGUCAAAUUCCAAGCACCUGCCUCUGUGAUUUCUGAUUUGCAGCUCAUAUUUGAAAUUACUGUUUUCUCAGCAUACAACAUUUUAAUACAUAGGGCAGAGCUUUUUCUGUUAACCCUCUUUCAAACUCUUUUGUUGGUCUUGAUGUCUGUGGUUUGGAGAACAACUGCCUUCCAAAGCUUCCUAAAGCAAAUUGUAGUUAUGCCCUUAGACGAUAGUUAGAGUUGGACCAAACCAGAAGGAGCAUCUAAGUUUGGUGAUCGUCCUGGCUGUCAUCUACAUGUGAUGUAGUCACAACCAGAAAGAAACUUCAUUUUAUGCUAGGUCGAUGUGAGGGAGAGGUAGCUAUGAACAUAAGAUGCUAGUACCUUCUGGCCAUGUCAAAUGAGCUAAACCCUUCCCCAAAAGCCAGCCAGGAAAACAUAUGAUACCAUUUGCAAUGGUAGAAUGUUGCAUGCUGUUCUUCUGUUAAUUAUAAUGGCCUGAUCCGUGUGGGGCGGGUGAGUCUUGCUUCACAAUCAUUAAUCUACUGAGUCUUGGUAUCAGCAGCCCAUCUUGAGGAGCAGCAGUACUUGGCUGGACGAGAAGGGCUUUGAUUUCAUUGUAAUAAGGAUAGCUUUGUUAAAAUUCUGCUGCUCGGUGGUGCCCAAGGAUUCUGGGAAGAGAAGGUUUUCCUUUUUUUUUCUUUCCUCUCCCCCCCCCUUUUUUUUUGCGUGGUGGGGAUGAAUUGUUUCUGUCUCUGCCAUCCCCUAGGUUACUAUUUAUGCUCUCCCUUGAUCUCCUGCUUGUCCCUUUAUUUCUCCAUGUUGUGAAAGUUUCUUUCUGUGUGACCAGGAGUCUGUUUAGCCGACCAUAUUGUGAGUGAAGGGCCAGCGUUUGUUGCCUGAUUUUGGCAAUGCUGGGCAGUCAGCUGGGAUGUAAUUAAGACUCUGAGAACAGGCUGUCUUCUCCACGGGAAGGGCAUGUUAGAUGGUGCUGGGAUUUGGGGCUGUCAGUUUGGCCAAGGCUGGAGACAGAGAGCUAGGGACACAGAUAUUUCCUUUCAUUUAUAAUCCCUUUAUGUACAGUGUAUGCACUUGGCGAAGUUUACAUAUAACCUAGUGGCUGGAGCUUACAAGCCAACGCAGUGAAAUUAGCAUAUGUUACAUGUAUAUUUUAGUAAUAUUUUAAAGCAAGUGCAUAUUUCCAAAGUGAAUUAUGCAUGGAUGACAGCAAUAGGGUUGUGUUGCACUGGGUGUCAAAUCCCACAACUUUUUGUCGAGACCGUGGAUUUUACACUAAAAAGGCAGAAAGACUAAACGAAGUAAAACAGUUUUAAUUUUUAACAGUUUGGUUCGGCCCAAGGAGCCAGGCUGUGACAGAUAUAACUGACAUUUGAAUAAUUGGAUUAAUUUAGAGAAGGGCAAAUCCGGUUUUGACGGUUGUGCUUGUGUGUAUGUCUUUUUUUUUUUUUUUUUUCCCUCCCCAGGAAUGGAGUUGUGGCUUAGAUAUGCACUUUAUGUGAUGGCAAGCAAAGCUUGAGGAAAUGCCACAAAAUGAUUAAAAUUGUCAUUUAAUUCGUUUGGUUUCACAUAAACGUGUAUAUGGGUGCGUGCAUUCUUACCACCUUGUAUAAAAGAAAUCCACAGCAUACACUUUAUUCACCUCCGUCAGUGGUGUACAUAUAUACAUAUUGCAUAUAUAAGCAAAUUAUAUAUGCUCUUGGGAACUUAGGAAAUACAAUGUGAAGAAAAUGUACACCAUUUCAGAGGCAGCAUAGAAAACGUGCAGACAAGGAAACUCACCAUGGCGUUGGCAAGCUCUCUCCCUCCCCGUAUCCUUGUGUUAUAAGCCAUCACAGUUCGGCAGAAGAGAAGCCUAAUUUGGUAUCUGGGGUAUCCGUAGCCAAAUUCCACAUGGUUAAGUCCUCAACCCUAAAUUCCUUCAGAUUUAUGUGUCUUUUUAAGCUUUUUUUUAUGGCGAUCAUCUCAGCAACUUGAAACCCAGCACAGCGCGGUUCACAACCCCCCUCCUCCAGAAAUUCUGUUAAUGAGAUACGCCGUCUAACGUCAGCAGGCCGAGACUAGAACUUGUGGCAGGCCGUCUUGAAUUGUGGCUCUGAAAUGGCUCUAAGAGCCUUUUCCCCAGCAGGACAUUAAUAGACAUUAACACCCGGGCAGGACGUGUUGAUGUGUGGUUUAUAAUGUUAGCACCCAGUUAGGCCGGUCUAACACAUGCUGUAGGAAUCUUGUACCGACACAUGUGUGUGUGGAGUCAGAUUAAUGAGAACCAUAAAAGGAGAGACAUUCCACUCAGGCUGGGGACCUCAUCCGAGCCUCCUUUCUUACCCUGCAAACCUGGUG
RNAcentral lists this long non-coding RNA (5195 nucleotides) under Sus scrofa (pig). RNAcentral's name for it is "lncRNA (ENSSSCG00015040073.1)". Lineage: Eukaryota; Metazoa; Chordata; Mammalia; Artiodactyla; Suidae. The record is from RNAcentral.